Monodelphis domestica (gray short-tailed opossum) is the source of this 407-nucleotide long non-coding RNA. RefSeq lists it as uncharacterized. NCBI's taxonomy places the organism in Eukaryota, Metazoa, Chordata, Mammalia, Didelphimorphia, Didelphidae. The record is from RefSeq and is a predicted model, not a curated record.
GAGGGAGUGAUGGAGGCAGAUGCAGUGAGACCAGUUCUAGGGGCUGUAUCAUCUUCCCUAUUCAUCACUUCAUAGUCAAACUCCAAGUCUUUCAGCCAUUUUCCAGUUACUUCCCUGGGGUCAUGCUGAUUGAAAAGAGCCCACUACAAAUUUAAAAUUAAUUGGAAACUAAUAAUCUAAUUCUUCAAAACUGAAAAAGAAAUUGAACAAGCCAUCAAAGAACUCUCUAAGAAAAAAUCCCCAGGUCCAGAUGGAUUCACAAAUGAAUUUUAUCAAACAUUCAAAGAACAACUAAUCCUAAUAUUAUACAAACUAUUUGACAGAAUAAGCAAAGAAGGAGUUCUACCAAAUUCCUUUCAUGACACAAAUAUGGUACUAAUUCCAAAGCCAAGUAGGUCAAAAACAGA